UUCUGUUGUUUGGCUUACAUGUGUUAUGAAAUUGCUGCCACUUGUUAAAUUUAGUCUUUACUCUUUACAUAGAAGGGGAAGUUUCUAAUUGGAUUACCUAGCAACAUUUGCCCUGUAGUUUUCAUGGUGAAUGGUUUGACCAUAAGAAAAGAAAUUUUUGAUAACCUAGUAAAUAAUGGAGUUCUAGAAUUGUAAGCAUCAGUUAUCGA
This 209-nucleotide unclassified non-coding RNA is filed under the name Hevea brasiliensis (rubber tree). Lineage: Eukaryota; Viridiplantae; Streptophyta; Magnoliopsida; Malpighiales; Euphorbiaceae. The record is from RNAcentral.